Molecule: long non-coding RNA, 1118 nt
Organism: Oncorhynchus tshawytscha (Chinook salmon)
Lineage: Eukaryota; Metazoa; Chordata; Actinopteri; Salmoniformes; Salmonidae
Source: Ensembl
AAAUUGGUGCGUAAUCUUCAGCUGCGGGCAUUUUCUCCUGGGAUUCAGGACAGAAAGCACACUUCCACGAACGAUGUAUCAUCGAAGAGAUGUGUGAAAAACACCUUGAGGAUUGGUUCUAAACAACGUUUGCCAUGUUUCAGUCGAUAUUAUGGAGUUCAUUUGGAUAAAAGUUAGGCGUUUUUAUGACUGGAUUUUCGUUUUUUUUUGGUAGCCAAACGUGACGCACCAAACGGAGCGAUUUCUCCUAAACAAAUAACCUUUCAGGAAAAACUGAACAUUUGCUAUCUAACAGAGUCUCCUCAUUGAAAACAUCUGAAGUUCUUCAAAGCUGGAUCCACAAAACAGAUGGCCUGGGACUUUGACUUAUCUCAACAGAAGACUACUCGAGAUUGGAAUGUCCACAGUGCAAGGUGUUCUACAUUGGACGGACAAAGAGAAGCCUUCAAGAUCGCUUAGCGGAACACAAGUACGCCAUACGGGUAGGUAAUGAAGACUACCCCAUGGCUAAGCAAUACAAGUCCCUACACCAUGGCAGCCCUGCCUCCCUACAAGCGAUGGGUAUUGAUCAUAUUCCGGCCUCUAUUAGAAAAGGGGACCGUCUUAAACAGUUAAACCAAAGGGAAAGUUUUUGGAUUUACAAACUACUAAAUACACUGGCCACUAAAUACCCUGGUUUAAAUGAAGAUAUGGAUUUCUCACCCUUCCUGUAGGGUCGUGAUGGGUCCAUUUGCUGUCAUCUAGUGGACAUUUUGCUCUAUUGCCCUCAGCUAUUGUUAGACUGUUCAUGUUUUGCUGUGUUCUAGUGUACUAUGGAAUAUAUAGCUUUCUUAUUCUUGGCACCUCUCCCAGUCAUAUUUAAAGGUUAGAACUACCUUUUAGUGUUCUGAUACUUCUAGUUUGGAGUUGUAUUUUUAUGAUAACAUUGCUACAGUAUUUCACCUUUUAAUGUGUAUAGUAUUGCUUACAAGGUGUGUCCAAUCAAUUGUGUAACCACUCCUUCUUCCAAUUAGGGCUAAUUGUAAAGCUGUUAAAAAGAGGACCUUGUAUUCCUUUUGUUGUACUCCCUGACGAAGGCCAUGCAGACGAAAUGCGUCGGUUAAAAAAAAAAAAAAAAC